UAGGGAAUCUUCCACAAUGGGCGCAAGCCUGAUGGAGCAACACCGCGUGAGUGAAGAAGGGUUUCGGCUCGUAAAGCUCUGUUGUUAAAGAAGAACACGUAUGAGAGUAACUGUUCACCCCUUGACGGUAUCUAACCAGAAAGCCACGGCUAACUACGUGCAG
This 163-nucleotide ribosomal RNA is filed under the name uncultured bacterium. RNAcentral describes it as "partial 16S ribosomal RNA". It matches the Rfam family "Bacterial small subunit ribosomal RNA", at positions 355 to 510 of the family's 1533-position model. The record is from RNAcentral.